UACGAAGGGGGCUAGCGUUGUUCGGAAUUACUGGGCGUAAAGCGCACGCAGGCGGCGUGAUCAGUCAGAAGUGAAAGCCCCGGGCUCAACCUGGGAACUGCUUUUGAUACUGUCAUGCUAGGAUCCGUGAGAGGGCAGUGGAAUUCCGAGUGUAGAGGUGAAAUUCGUAGAUAUUCGGAAGAACACCAGUGGCGAGGGCGACUGCCUGGCACGGUAUCGACGCUCAUGUGCGACAGCGUGGGGAGCAAACAGG
Molecule: unclassified non-coding RNA, 253 nt
Filed under: uncultured Rhodospirillales bacterium
Lineage: Bacteria; Pseudomonadati; Pseudomonadota; Alphaproteobacteria; Rhodospirillales
Description: contains 16S-23S intergenic spacer region
Rfam family: Bacterial small subunit ribosomal RNA
Source: RNAcentral